Molecule: transfer RNA, 86 nt
Filed under: Megalops atlanticus (tarpon)
Lineage: Eukaryota; Metazoa; Chordata; Actinopteri; Elopiformes; Megalopidae
Rfam family: tRNA
About the family: Transfer RNA (tRNA) molecules are approximately 80 nucleotides in length. Their secondary structure includes four short double-helical elements and three loops (D, anti-codon, and T loops).
Source: Rfam by way of RNAcentral
CCUUCGAUAGCUCAGUUGGUAGAGCGGAGGACUGUAGAGGACUAGCUGUCAUCCUUAGGUCGCUGGUUCGAAUCCGGCUCGAAGGA